Molecule: ribosomal RNA, 1431 nt
Filed under: uncultured organism
Description: 16S ribosomal RNA
Rfam family: Bacterial small subunit ribosomal RNA
Source: RNAcentral
CAGGCUUAACACAUGCAAGUCGAGGGGCAUCAGGAAGAAAGCUUGCUUUCUUUGCUGGCGACCGGCGCACGGGUGAGUAACACGUAUCCAACCUGCCCUUUACUCGGGGAUAGCCUUUCGAAAGAAAGAUUAAUGCCCGAUGGCAUAAUGAUUCCGCAUGGUUUCAUUAUUAAAGGAUUCCGGUAAAGGAUGGGGAUGCGUUCCAUUAGGUUGUUGGUGAGGUAACGGCUCACCAAGCCUUCGAUGGAUAGGGGUUCUGAGAGGAAGGUCCCCCACAUUGGAACUGAGACACGGUCCAAACUCCUACGGGAGGCAGCAGUGAGGAAUAUUGGUCAAUGGGCGCUAGCCUGAACCAGCCAAGUAGCGUGAAGGAUGAAGGCUCUAUGGGUCGUAAACUUCUUUUAUAUAAGAAUAAAGUGCAGUAUGUAUACUGUUUUGUAUGUAUUAUAUGAAUAAGGAUCGGCUAACUCCGUGCCAGCAGCCGCGGUAAUACGGAGGAUCCGAGCGUUAUCCGGAUUUAUUGGGUUUAAAGGGAGCGUAGGUGGACUGGUAAGUCAGUUGUGAAAGUUUGCGGCUCAACCGUAAAAUUGCAGUUGAUACUGUCAGUCUUGAGUACAGUAGAGGUGGGCGGAAUUCGUGGUGUAGCGGUGAAAUGCUUAGAUAUCACGAAGAACUCCGAUUGCGAAGGCAGCUCACUGGACUGCAACUGACACUGAUGCUCGAAAGUGUGGGUAUCAAACAGGAUUAGAUACCCUGGUAGUCCACACAGUAAACGAUGAAUACUCGCUGUUUGCGAUAUACAGUAAGCGGCCAAGCGAAAGCAUUAAGUAUUCCACCUGGGGAGUACGCCGGCAACGGUGAAACUCAAAGGAAUUGACGGGGGCCCGCACAAGCGGAGGAACAUGUGGUUUAAUUCGAUGAUACGCGAGGAACCUUACCCGGGCUUAAAUUGCAGUGGAAUGAUGUGGAAACAUGUCAGUGAGCAAUCACCGCUGUGAAGGUGCUGCAUGGUUGUCGUCAGCUCGUGCCGUGAGGUGUCGGCUUAAGUGCCAUAACGAGCGCAACCCUUAUCUUUAGUUACUAACAGGUUAUGCUGAGGACUCUAGAGAGACUGCCGUCGUAAGAUGUGAGGAAGGUGGGGAUGACGUCAAAUCAGCACGGCCCUUACGUCCGGGGCUACACACGUGUUACAAUGGGGGGUACAGAAGGCAGCUAGCGGGUGACCGUAUGCUAAUCCCAAAAGCCUCUCUCAGUUCGGAUCGAAGUCUGCAACCCGACUUCGUGAAGCUGGAUUCGCUAGUAAUCGCGCAUCAGCCACGGCGCGGUGAAUACGUUCCCGGGCCUUGUACACACCGCCCGUCAAGCCAUGGGAGCCGGGGGUACCUGAAGUACGUAACCGCAAGGAUCGUCCUAGGGUAAAACUGGUGACUG